GUAGGGGACACUUCCCACUGAGGGUUUCCCGGCGUAAGUUCCUGAACAAUUUGCGGAAAUUGGUGUGGGUCGUAUUGUCCCCCCCUCUCCGCCAGAUUGAGGCGAGUAGGUGCGCCAGUGCCGCGUGGGUUUCGCCGGCGGCAUUGGGGGGUGAGA
This 156-nucleotide small RNA is filed under the name Xanthomonas euvesicatoria. RNAcentral's name for it is "Proteobacterial sRNA sX4". It matches the Rfam family "Proteobacterial sRNA sX4". Lineage: Bacteria; Pseudomonadati; Pseudomonadota; Gammaproteobacteria; Lysobacterales; Lysobacteraceae. The record is from Rfam by way of RNAcentral.